This 73-nucleotide transfer RNA is filed under the name Paramuricea clavata. It matches the Rfam family "tRNA". Rfam says of the family: Transfer RNA (tRNA) molecules are approximately 80 nucleotides in length. Their secondary structure includes four short double-helical elements and three loops (D, anti-codon, and T loops). The record is from Rfam by way of RNAcentral. Lineage: Eukaryota; Metazoa; Cnidaria; Anthozoa; Malacalcyonacea; Plexauridae.
GACCGCGUAGCUCAGUUGGAAGAGCAUUGGGCUAGUAUUCCAAAGGUUGUAGGUUCGAAUCCCACCGUGGCCA